AACGAACGCUGGCGGCAGGCUUAACACAUGCAAGUCGAACGCAUCCUUCGGGUGAGUGGCAGACGGGUGAGUAACGCGUGGGAACGUGCCCUUCAGUUCGGGAUAACCCAGGGAAACUUGGGCUAAUACCGGAUACGUGCGAGAGCAGAAAGAUUUAUCGCUGAAGGAUCGGCCCGCGUCUGAUUAGCUAGUUGGUGGGGUAAUGGCCCACCAAGGCGACGAUCAGUAGCUGGUCUGAGAGGAUGAUCAGCCACAUUGGGACUGAGACACGGCCCAAACUGCUACGGGAGGCAGCAGUGGGGAAUAUAGGACAGUGGGCGCAAGGCUGAUCCAGCCAUGCCGGGUGAGUGAUGAAGGCCUUAGGGUUGUAAAGCUAUUUCGUCCGGGACGAUAAUGACGGUACCGGAAGAAGAAGCCCCGGCUAACUUCGUGCCAGCCGCCGCCGUAC
RNAcentral lists this ribosomal RNA (448 nucleotides) under uncultured bacterium. Its description in RNAcentral is "partial 16S ribosomal RNA". It matches the Rfam family "Bacterial small subunit ribosomal RNA", at positions 29 to 523 of the family's 1533-position model. The record is from RNAcentral.